GACGAGCGCUGGCGGCGUGCUUAACACAUGCAAGUCGAACGGAAAGGCCCUGCUUUUGUGGGGUGCUCGAGUGGCGAACGGGUGAGUAACACGUGAGUAACCUGCCCUUGACUUUGGGAUAACUUCAGGAAACUGGGGCUAAUACCGGAUAGGAGCUCCUGCUGCAUGGUGGGGGUUGGAAAGUUUCGGCGGUUGGGGAUGGACUCGCGGCUUAUCAGCUUGUUGGUGGGGUAGUGGCUUACCAAGGCUUUGACGGGUAGCCGGCCUGAGAGGGUGACCGGCCACAUUGGGACUGAGAUACGGCCCAGACGCCUACGGGAGGCAGCAGUGGGGAAUAUUGCACAAUGGGCGGAAGCCUGAUGCAGCAACGCCGCGUGCGGGAUGACGGCCUUCGGGUUGUAAACCGCUUUCGCCUGUGACGAAGCGUGAGUGACGGUAAUGGGUAAAGAAGCACCGGCUAACUACGUG
Molecule: ribosomal RNA, 468 nt
Filed under: uncultured bacterium
Lineage: Bacteria
Description: partial 16S ribosomal RNA
Rfam family: Bacterial small subunit ribosomal RNA
Source: RNAcentral